CCUACGGGAGGCAGCAGUGAGGAAUAUUGGUCAAUGGGCGCAGGCCUGAACCAGCCAAGUCGCGUGAGGGAAGACUGCCCUAUGGGUUGUAAACCUCUUUUAUAAGGGAAGAAUAAUGACGACGUGUAGUCAGAUGCACGUACCUUAUGAAUAAGCAUCGGCUAACUCCGUCCCAGCACCCGCGGUAAUACGGAGGAUGCGAGCGUUAUCAGGAUUUAUUGGGUUAAAAGGGUGCGUAGGGGGUAUUUUAAGUUAGUGGUAAAACGUCGGGGCUUCACCUGGAUUGGCCAUUAAAACUGGAGUACUAGAGUACAGACGAGGUAGGCGGAAUAAGUUAGGUAGCGGUGAAAUGCUUAGAUAUAACUUAGAACCCCGAUAGCGAAGGCAGCUUACCGGACUAUUACUGACGCUGAGGCGCGAGAGCGUGGGUAGCGAACAGGAUUAGAUACCCUUGUAGUC
This 459-nucleotide ribosomal RNA is filed under the name uncultured bacterium. Its description in RNAcentral is "partial 16S ribosomal RNA". It matches the Rfam family "Bacterial small subunit ribosomal RNA", at positions 338 to 795 of the family's 1533-position model. The record is from RNAcentral.